Molecule: ribosomal RNA, 381 nt
Filed under: Triticum aestivum (bread wheat)
Lineage: Eukaryota; Viridiplantae; Streptophyta; Magnoliopsida; Poales; Poaceae
Description: partial small subunit ribosomal RNA
Source: RNAcentral
AUGAGACCGCGCUGCUGCUCACCGGCCCGUGCCGCGCCGCCCGCGCUGCUCGCCGAAGUAGGAGGCGCCGGAGGGUGGAGUCAUCAGAGGGAGGAGGCAGCGCCGCGCUGCUCACCGGCCCGUGCCGUGCCGCCCACGCUGCUCGCCGGAGUGAGGAGGCGCCGGAGGGAGGAGUCGUCAGAGGGAGGAGGCCGCACCGCGCUGCUCGCCGGAGUGAGGAGGCGCCGGAGGGAGGAGUCGUCAGAGGGAGGAGGCCGCGUCGCGCUGCUCGCCGGAGUGAGGAGGCGUCGGAGGGAGGAGGCGCUAGAGCUUGCUGGCCGGUGCCGUGCCGCCCGCGUCUCCUUCUCUCCUCGCCUGCGCCGCUUGAUCUUGCCGCUGUAG